Molecule: long non-coding RNA, 1071 nt
Organism: Carassius auratus (goldfish)
Lineage: Eukaryota; Metazoa; Chordata; Actinopteri; Cypriniformes; Cyprinidae
Exons: 6
Source: RefSeq, a predicted model, not a curated record
CCUACUAGUAGGCUCAGAAGGCCGUGAUCAUCCAUCCAAAUGGUUGAUCACCCACAAAUAUACAAGAGAAGACUCCAGAUCCAAUCCCAGAAUUCCUGCUCACCGGUAAUCGGAAGUCUACUGGACGAAAGCGGCAACGUUGCGAUAUUUCCUGCUUAAUAUUUUCAGAUAUGGGAAAAGCACUUAAGAUGACCCCACGUUUCAGGAACGUUAAAAUUAAGUUGGUGAGGAGGUCUAUCGCUGGCCAUGCAAAGUUUUCUUACCUCAGUCAAGGUCUUCCCCAGCCCAGCUACAAACAGACCCACCCUUCAGACGCUUCUAUUACAUCUCAACUGACUGAACCUGAUGAUGCGACACCAAGCUGUUCUGAGAGUGCAUACAGUAAGGCAAAGAAGAGAGAGCUUCAUGCCUGGGAUGCAGUCAAGGAUGAGAUGCUUAAGAGUGUUUACUAUGAGCCAUCCUCCCUGGGGUUAUUCUUAUAUUUACCUGAAGCCCAUGGCACCCAUGCUGUGAACACAAAGGACAUGAAGAUCAUUGUCAGCACAGGACGGCUCUGCACCGUUACAGUCACCAUGUGUGCGUGUUAACCAGAAACCUGUACUCUGCUGAGAUAUGGGCUCUGACCAGCAACAGCCACAAGCCCCAGACAGACAGCCUUCUCCAUCCCUCUGCUAGAGCUUUCGGUUUCUCUGUCACUGGAGUGUCAGGUUUCUAUUGAGGGUUUUUGUAACACCCCAUAUCCCACUUUAGGCAUCACCACUUCCGACAAAGAGGUUUGGUUGAUAUUUGCCCACAAUUAAAUGAUGGAACAAUAUGCCCAGCAUGUCCAAAGGCGGAUGGAGAUAUGAUUGUCACAUUGGAUGCCAACUUUGGCCUUGUGAGGAAUCAAAGCUAUGGUACAAGUGUGGUUGAUCCAUUACACAGAACCCGCAUGUUUAGAGGAAUACCUGCUAUCACAUCUUGACAGCUCAAAGCCUCAAGAGGACUGCAGUAAGCUGCUCUCAUUCAAGGUCUCCAACAGCUGGAAAGAAAAUGACAUCAAGCCACUGUGAUGUUUCACCCACAUAUAAU